RNAcentral lists this long non-coding RNA (430 nucleotides) under Erythranthe guttata (spotted monkey flower). Its description in RNAcentral is "long non-coding RNA (EGUT_LNC000465)". The record is from RNAcentral. Lineage: Eukaryota; Viridiplantae; Streptophyta; Magnoliopsida; Lamiales; Phrymaceae.
CAUAUUUGCUUGCGCCGAUGACGGCUCGGACAAUCCCCGGAAACGCCGUGAUGGAGGCGGUGGUGGUGGUGGUGGUGGGUGUGGAGAUAGUGGCGGUGGCGGUGGCGGUGGCGGCGGCGGUGGCGGUGGGUGUGGUGGCGGCGGUGGUGGGGGUGGGUGUUAGAUAUAUAUAUAUGUAUGCUUUGUGGAUGUUGUGAAACGAUGUUAGGUCAACUUAAAAAUGAUUUUGAAUAUUUGAUUAAUUUGCUGUUUUAUAUAAUAAGGAAUACUCAGAUGUAUGAAUUUAUAAUAUACUUGGCCUGCUGCAGUUAGCCUAGUUUGUAUAUAUAUGUAACAUAUUGAAUGAAUAAAGUGCCUUCCUUGUGUUCUAUUACUGUUAUUUCUCAAUCUCCUAAUAAUAAAGUGACUUUCUUUUGGCAUUGGAAACAAC